RNAcentral lists this microRNA precursor (186 nucleotides) under Oryza brachyantha (malo sina). RNAcentral describes it as "MIR812 microRNA precursor family". It matches the Rfam family "MIR812 microRNA precursor family". The record is from Rfam by way of RNAcentral. Lineage: Eukaryota; Viridiplantae; Streptophyta; Magnoliopsida; Poales; Poaceae.
AAUAAGUUUGUUUUUGAGUUUUUAUACAAUGUUUGAUUAUUCGUCCUAUUUAAAAUUUUUCUAGGAUUAUUUUUUUGUUAUCAGAUGAUAAACAUAAAUAGUACUUUAUGUAUAACUAAUUUUUUAAGUUUUUCUAGAAAUUUUUAAAUAAGACGGAUGGUCAAAUGUAUGUUGGACAUAGAAAUC